This 448-nucleotide ribosomal RNA is filed under the name uncultured bacterium. RNAcentral's name for it is "bacterial SSU rRNA". It matches the Rfam family "Bacterial small subunit ribosomal RNA", at positions 355 to 825 of the family's 1533-position model. The record is from RNAcentral.
UGGGGAAUUUUGGGCAAUGGGGGAAACCCUGACCCAGCAACGCCGCGUGAAGGAUGAGGUAUUUCGGUAUGUAAACUUCGAAAGAAUAGGAAGAAUAAAUGACGGUACUAUUUAUAAGGUCCGGCUAACUACGUGCCAGCAGCCGCGGUAAUACGUAGGGACCAAGCGUUGUUCGGAUUUACUGGGCGUAAAGGGCGCGUAGGCGGCAUGACAAGUCACUUGUGAAAUCUCUGGGCUUAACCCAGAACGGCCAAGUGAUACUGUCGCGCUAGAGUGCAGAAGGGGCAAUCGGAAUUCUUGGUGUAGCGGUGAAAUGCGUAGAUAUCAAGAGGAACACCUGAGGUGAAGACGGGUUGCUGGGCUGACACUGACGCUGAGGCGCGAAAGCCAGGGGAGCAAACGGGGAUUAGAUACCCAUGUAGUCCCUGAGCGGGCUGGCAAGGCGCAU